CCUACGGGAGGCAGCAGUGAGGAAUAUUGGUCAAUGGACGAGAGGCUGAACCAGCCAAGUAGCGUGAAGGAUGACUGCCCUAUGGGUUGUAAACUUCUUUUAUAUGGGAAUAAAAUGUUCCACGUGUGGGGUUUUGUAUGUACCAUAUGAAUAAGGAUCGGCUAACUCCGUGCCAGCAGCCGCGGUAAUACGGAGGAUACGAGCGUUAUCCGGAUUUAUUGGGUUUAAAGGGAGCGUAGAUGGGUUGUUAAGUCAGUUGUGAAAGUUUGCGGCUCAACCGUAAAAUUGCAAUUGAUACUGGCGGUCGUGAGUACAGUUGAGGUAGGCGGAAUUCGUGGUGUAGCGGUGAAAUGCUUAGAUAUCACGAAGAACUCCGAUUGCGAAGGCAGCUUACUAAACUGCCACUGACAUUGAUGCUCGAAAGUGUGGGUAUCAAACAGGAUUAGAUACCCGGGUAGUC
Molecule: ribosomal RNA, 460 nt
Filed under: uncultured bacterium
Lineage: Bacteria
Description: partial 16S ribosomal RNA
Rfam family: Bacterial small subunit ribosomal RNA
Source: RNAcentral